RNAcentral lists this ribosomal RNA (405 nucleotides) under bacterium enrichment culture clone ALO1_GLFRUDD03GQOED. RNAcentral's name for it is "bacterial SSU rRNA". It matches the Rfam family "Bacterial small subunit ribosomal RNA", at positions 9 to 415 of the family's 1533-position model. The record is from RNAcentral.
GAGUUUGAUCAUGGCUCAGAUUGAACGCUGGCGGCAUGCCUUACACAUGCAAGUCGAACGGCAGCACGGGAGCUUGCUCCUGGUGGCGAGUGGCGAACGGGUGAGUAAUGCAUCGGAACGUAUCCUGGAGUGGGGGAUAACGUAGCGAAAGUUACGCUAAUACCGCAUAUUCUGUGAGCAGGAAAGCGGGGGACCUUCGGGCCUCGCGCUCUUGGAGCGGCCGAUGUCGGAUUAGCUAGUUGGUGAGGUAAAGGCUCACCAAGGCGACGAUCCGUAGCAGGUCUGAGAGGAUGAUCUGCCACACUGGAACUGAGACACGGUCCAGACUCCUACGGGAGGCAGCAGUGGGAAUUUUGGACAAUGGGGGCAACCCUGAUCCAGCCAUGCCGCGUGAGUGAAGAAGGC